GCCAGGGUGGCACAGUGGUUUGAGUGUUUGACUAUGACUCUGGAGACCAGAGUUUAAUUCCCCACUUGGCCA
Molecule: transfer RNA, 72 nt
Filed under: Phrynosoma platyrhinos (Desert horned lizard)
Lineage: Eukaryota; Metazoa; Chordata; Lepidosauria; Squamata; Phrynosomatidae
Description: tRNA-OTHER
Source: RNAcentral